UGCCCAGCAACUCCUAUCCCUACCUCCUCGUGGUACUGGCCGGGGUACGAGUAACCUUGGGGAAGAUCGGGUAACCAAUCCCCGGUGGGAACUUUGGUCGUAUGCUGACAGGGAAGG
Aedes aegypti (yellow fever mosquito) is the source of this 117-nucleotide non-coding RNA. The record is from Rfam. NCBI's taxonomy places the organism in Eukaryota, Metazoa, Arthropoda, Insecta, Diptera, Culicidae.